GUAUAAAAUAAAUGACACUGAGUAUUAUUUUUGGGGAAAAGAAUGACACUGAAAGCUUUUUCUUUAUUACCUGCAGAGGAGAAGAAAGUAAAGAGCACUAAAGUGGAAGCAAAACUUAAAAAGGAAGUGAAGGAUGGAAAAGGAGAAACAAAGGCGGCCGAGAAAGUCAAGCAGGCAGAGAUUAAACCAACAGAAACUGGGCUAAUAAAGGCCAAAACGAAAGUUAAGGAGGAGAAAGCUCUUCAGACUGUAACUAAAUCGGACAAGAAAGAUCAAUAUGCGUUCUGUCGCUAUGUGAUUGACAUGUUUGCGCAAGGGGAUUUUUAUCCAGGCACACUCUCUACUCAUGGUUUGAUUUUGUUUUCAUUUUAAUCACUUAGAAGUUAUUUUGUGUGCAUAGUUUUAUGGUGUUCUAGUUUCAGUUAAACCACUUGCAUUUCACAGUACUCUGGACUCACUGCUGGAUGAUCUUCAAGUUGCCUAGUUGGCAACAAAGACAGUGGGAGAACAGAUGUGAUAUUAUUCACAGUUUAGACCUUCUAAAAUCUUUGCAUGGAAGUACCCAAUUACUCUAUGGAGCUUAUACCACUACAUACCUCUUUCUGAUAACAGCUAGACUACAAAGGAAUGUGGCCGUAUCUUUUCCUUU
Molecule: long non-coding RNA, 649 nt
Filed under: Manacus vitellinus (golden-collared manakin)
Lineage: Eukaryota; Metazoa; Chordata; Aves; Passeriformes; Pipridae
Description: lncRNA (ENSMVIG00005017812.1)
Source: RNAcentral